GCAACGGUUCGUUUAACAGCGAUUAAAUGGGAAUCGAGUGCAAAUCUCGAACAGUCGCGCUGCUGUGAUUCUCUUUAUGGGUUUGUUCAAUAUAUGCCACUGCAUGUUUGUCGGGAAGGCAGAACAGAUUGAGGAAAGUCAGAAGACCAGCCUUGUCUUG
Molecule: non-coding RNA, 160 nt
Filed under: uncultured Prevotella sp.
Lineage: Bacteria; Pseudomonadati; Bacteroidota; Bacteroidia; Bacteroidales; Prevotellaceae
Source: RNAcentral